Molecule: ribosomal RNA, 530 nt
Filed under: Lodderomyces parapsilosis
Lineage: Eukaryota; Fungi; Ascomycota; Pichiomycetes; Serinales; Debaryomycetaceae
Description: LSU rRNA
Rfam family: Eukaryotic large subunit ribosomal RNA
Source: RNAcentral
AAAGCUCAAAUUUGAAAUCUGGCACUUUCAGUGUCCGAGUUGUAAUUUGAAGAAGGUAUCUUUGGGUCUGGCUCUUGUCUAUGUUUCUUGGAACAGAACGUCACAGAGGGUGAGAAUCCCGUGCGAUGAGAUGUCCCAGACCUAUGUAAAGUUCCUUCGAAGAGUCGAGUUGUUUGGGAAUGCAGCUCUAAGUGGGUGGUAAAUUCCAUCUAAAGCUAAAUAUUGGCGAGAGACCGAUAGCGAACAAGUACAGUGAUGGAAAGAUGAAAAGAACUUUGAAAAGAGAGUGAAAAAGUACGUGAAAUUGUUGAAAGGGAAGGGCUUGAGAUCAGACUUGGUAUUUUGUAUGUUACUCUCUCGGGGGUGGCCUCUACAGUUUACCGGGCCAGCAUCAGUUUGAGCGGUAGGAUAAGUGCAAAGAAAUGUGGCACUGCUUCGGUAGUGUGUUAUAGUCUUUGUCGAUACUGCCAGCUUAGACUGAGGACUGCGGCUUCGGCCUAGGAUGUUGGCAUAAUGAUCUUAAGUCGACC